UACGUAGGGGGCAAGCGUUGUCCGGAUUUAUUGGGCGUAAAGAGCGUGUAGGCGGUUUGGUAGGUCCGCUGUGAAAACUCGAGGCUCAACCUCGAGACGCCGGUGGAAACCAUCAGACUAGAGUCCGGAAGAGGAGAGUGGAAUUCCUGGUGUAGCGGUGGAAUGCGCAGAUAUCAGGAGGAACACCUAUAGCGAAGGCAGCUCGCUGGGACGACACUGACGCUGAGACGCGAAAGCGUGGGGAGCGAACAGG
RNAcentral lists this ribosomal RNA (253 nucleotides) under uncultured bacterium. RNAcentral describes it as "partial 16S ribosomal RNA". It matches the Rfam family "Bacterial small subunit ribosomal RNA", at positions 524 to 776 of the family's 1533-position model. The record is from RNAcentral.